RNAcentral lists this transfer RNA (88 nucleotides) under Acidobacteria bacterium 13_1_40CM_2_60_7. RNAcentral's name for it is "tRNA-Thr". It matches the Rfam family "tRNA". Rfam says of the family: Transfer RNA (tRNA) molecules are approximately 80 nucleotides in length. Their secondary structure includes four short double-helical elements and three loops (D, anti-codon, and T loops). The record is from RNAcentral. Lineage: Bacteria; Pseudomonadati; Acidobacteriota.
GGAAGCGUCGGGCAUCGGCAAGCCCACUGGACUUGUAAUCCAUGAACCUCUGGCCGGGGUUUUGCGGGUUCGACUCCCGCCGCUUCCG